AACGCACCUUGCGCCCUCUGGUAUUCCGGAGGGCAUGCCUGUCUGAGUGUCAUGUAGACUCAAUCCUCCGGGUUUCCGGCCGAUUGGAUUUGGGCGUCUGCCUUCUUGGCUCGCCUUAAAUGCCUUAGUGGCCUGCUGUGGUCCCAUCUGACGUAAUAAGUUUCGUCGGUUAGGGGUCCCUGUGGACUGCUCACAACCGCCUUUGGGCAACUUCAUUGACUCUGACCUCAGAUCAGGUAGGACUACCCGCUGAACUUAA
RNAcentral lists this unclassified non-coding RNA (259 nucleotides) under uncultured fungus. RNAcentral describes it as "partial contains 5.8S ribosomal RNA, internal transcribed spacer 2, and large subunit ribosomal RNA". The stretch from base 1 to 52 matches the Rfam family "5.8S ribosomal RNA", at positions 103 to 154 of the family's 154-position model. Lineage: Eukaryota; Fungi. The record is from RNAcentral.